GUAGGGAAUAUUGGGCAAUGGAGGCAACUCUGACCCAGCCAUGCCGCGUGCAGGAUGACGGCCCUCUGGGUUGUAAACUGCUUUUAUACGGGAAGAAAAAAUACUACGUGUAGUAUACUGACGGUACCGUAAGAAUAAGGAUCGGCUAACUCCGUGCCAGCAGCCGCGGUAAUACGGAGGAUCCAAGCGUUGUCCGGAUUUAUUGGGUUUAAAGGGUGCGUAGGCGGAUCUUUAAGUCAGUGGUGAAAGCCUGCAGCUUAACUGUAGAAUUGCCAUUGAAACUGAAGAUCUUGAAUGUGGUUAAAGUAGGCGGAAUGUAUCAUGUAGUGGUGAAAUGCUUAGAUAUGAUACAGAACACCGAUAGCGAAGGCAGCUUGCUGAACCAUUAUUGACGCUGAGGCACGAAAGCGUGGGGAGCGAACAGGAUUAGAUACCCUGGUAGUCC
RNAcentral lists this ribosomal RNA (445 nucleotides) under uncultured bacterium. RNAcentral describes it as "partial 16S ribosomal RNA". It matches the Rfam family "Bacterial small subunit ribosomal RNA", at positions 354 to 796 of the family's 1533-position model. The record is from RNAcentral.